ACCAGCUCUUCAAGUGGUCGGGAUGAUUAUUGGGCUUAAAGUGUCCGUAGCCGGUUUAGUAAGUUCCUGGUAAAAUCAGGUAGCUUAACUAUCUGUAUGCUAGGAAUACUACUAUACUAGAGGGCGGGAGAGGUCUGAGGUACUACAGGGGUAGGGGUGAAAUCUUAUAAUCCUUGUAGGACCACCAGUGGCGAAGGCGUCAGACUGGAACGUGCCUGACGGUGAGGGACGAAAGCCAGGGGAGCGAACCGGAUUAGAUACCCGGGUAGUCCUGGCUGUAAACGAUGCAUACUAGGUGAUGGCCCGGCCAUGAGCCGUGUCAGUGCCGUAGGGAAACCGUUAAGUGUGCCGCCUGGGAAGUACGGUCGCAAGGCUAAAACUUAAAGGAAUUGGCGGGGGAGCACCACAAGGGGUGAAGGCCUGCGGUUC
RNAcentral lists this ribosomal RNA (429 nucleotides) under uncultured archaeon. Its description in RNAcentral is "bacterial SSU rRNA". It matches the Rfam family "Archaeal small subunit ribosomal RNA", at positions 475 to 903 of the family's 1478-position model. The record is from RNAcentral.